RNAcentral lists this transfer RNA (72 nucleotides) under Streptococcus suis. Its description in RNAcentral is "tRNA-Glu". It matches the Rfam family "tRNA". From Rfam's summary of the family: Transfer RNA (tRNA) molecules are approximately 80 nucleotides in length. Their secondary structure includes four short double-helical elements and three loops (D, anti-codon, and T loops). The record is from RNAcentral. Lineage: Bacteria; Bacillati; Bacillota; Bacilli; Lactobacillales; Streptococcaceae. RNAcentral also lists the same sequence under 1 other name.
GGUCCGUUGGUCAAGGGGUUAAGACACCGCCUUUUCACGUCGGUAACACGGGUUCGAAUCCCGUACGGACUA